UCAGGAUUAGCAGGCUAAGAUUACUUGUCAGUCGGAGUAAAAAGACCAGGGAAGAAGAGGUCCAUCACAGUAAGCUGUGGACAUGACAUGGAUGCUGCUUUGUCACCUCACAUGCCAUCAGCUCCCAGUAUCCAUCCAUGACUGAAGCCAAGGAUGAGAAGCUUCUUUCUGCCUGGGAGCUGGCCAGAUGAGCUUUGCAGAUUUGAAGAAGCUUAGAAUGGUAGGAGAUGGCCAUUAAAGAGAGCUGAUAAAGGUAAGUGGUACUUGAGUUUUAAACUAGUUAGGGAUACUUUAUUCUGGCCAUAUCAAGAU
This 312-nucleotide long non-coding RNA is filed under the name Junco hyemalis (dark-eyed junco). RNAcentral describes it as "lncRNA (ENSJHYG00000010305.1)". The record is from RNAcentral. Lineage: Eukaryota; Metazoa; Chordata; Aves; Passeriformes; Passerellidae.